Molecule: long non-coding RNA, 2427 nt
Organism: Nicotiana attenuata
Lineage: Eukaryota; Viridiplantae; Streptophyta; Magnoliopsida; Solanales; Solanaceae
Exons: 5
Source: RefSeq, a predicted model, not a curated record
AUAGGUGCAUACACGUGUCUUAGUCGUGUCACCUCCUACUACGCUGCUUUUGUUGGAAUGAACACAGCUCAAUUAUCUUUUUUUCAUCUUUCUCUUUCCCCUCACAAAUAUUCAAACAAAAAAUAGCAUAGAUUUCUAUCAGCAUUCUAGAGAUGCUAAGUAAAUCCUAGACCAUUGGCAUUUUAUAGUGUUACGCGUCUUCCCCUACUUGGAUCAGUUUGCUUUUGUUUCAAUUUCCUUCAAGACAUGUUCGAUGAAAUUGCCGAAUGAAAGCAAAACAUAUUUAUCAUGAAUAGAGAUGGGCCUGAAGAGACAAAUUUAUUCUGAAAAUAUCGUUGUUUGGCUGAAGAAGUUGAGUUGUUGGCUCAGCUGCUCGUGACUGUAGCCAUGAAUGGUAAGUCGGAGUUCGCUAUACCAUUGUUGUGAAUGUGUGUUUAUGGAUUUACUCGUAAUUUCCGUUUUAGAGAGAAUAUUAUAGUAAGUUCAAAGUACAAAAUUUUCUGCAUUCACUCUAAAUCAAACAGUAAGGUAUUUUUCAUUUGGGAACAGGCGAAGGCUGCAGAACAACUACUUUGAUGAUUUUACUUUUAAGUGCCCACAAUAUGUAUCCAAUCCAUCAAGCAAUCCUAAACUGAAACUUGAAAUAUCAUGCUUCCUACUCAUGAAUCUAACCAGCCAACUACAAGAGUCAUUAUUAUAAGAUGCCCUACAUGAAACCUUCAAGAAAAUGUGGUGGAAAUGAUAAUUUUAAUAAUGAAAGAAGAAGCGAGCUCAGGAAAUUCAAGCAAUCAUAUUAAAUUAUAUAAGUUGCUCUCUUUUGAGAUUCCCAAAUGUGUUAUUGGAGUUAUGUGACCAUUAAAAUUUCUCCUAAUAUUUGAUAGCCUCUUUUCUAUCUUUGAACUCAGAUGCAGGUACAAAUUUAUGCACUAACUUGGAAGUUGCUUUGUCCUGUUUAUCAGUUGCAGCCAAAAUGGAAGAGUUUGAUGCUCCUCUAACUGUUUUUUUUUUUUUUUGGCAGGUGCCUAAAUUUAUUAUUCAAAAGUGAGAAAUAUUUCUUUAUUUCUUGCAUUAAGUUUUUUGCAAUUUGAUUAUAUCGAAUGUUGAGGGGUUAGAAGGUAGGAAUUCAAAUGUUAAACAAAUAUGUACACUCUAUUAUCGGCAACCAAUUCCGCUAAUUUCAGGGGACUGGGCUAUGCCACUUGUUCUCGACAAAUUGUUUUAAUUUUUACAAAGAAAAUUAAUUCUCUUUCUUAAUAAAAGAAAUCAUACUCCCUCUGUCCCCAGUUUAUGUGAUUGCUUUUCGCUUCUCGAUAUUUAGACUAUGUGAACUUUAGCUAAUAUCUUAAAAAAAAUUAUCAUAUUGACUUGAGAAGAAUUGUAUAUUCAUAUAGAAAGCUCUUUGAAAUCCUGUGUGUUGGCACUUGGAAUAUUUCGGAAAAUGCAUAUACAUUUUUAUCAUUCAGCCUCUGCUAACCUCAGUUAUUGUCUCUUUUUGAAUCCUCACCUUUGCAUUGGAUGAAUAUUCUUAGGGUAUUUUUUUCAAUUAGUUGGUAAUGUGCAGAUUCAAAUAUCAUAAUUGAGUUGAGAGUCCUCAAAUAUGGUUGGACAACACAAAAUGUUUUCCGUAUUAUGAACUUUGUUGUAAAUGGAGGUAAAGCAGAGUCACAUAUGUUACUGUUUUUUGUUGUUUAUAUUCUUAUGUAUAUUUGGUAGUAUUCUGAAAGGGAUCAGAAUAUUUUUGUUGGGUAAGGUUGCUGAAUUGCAGAUAAUGUAAGCUCUUAUCAGCCUGAGUUAUACCAAGAACGAAGUUUAUAACGAACGAAAUGAUGAAGCAGCUGCAGACAUUAAUGGAUAAAAGACAAUUUUUUUUAUAAUCAUGAUCAACAUUUGUUUUUGUCUUGUGGGUCUAUGAGACAUCAGCACUAAAUUCCUCCUCAAAUCUUUUUUGGCAGUUGGUGAGCAACUCAAGAAGAUUUUUCAGGUUUACCUCUCCUUUCAUGUUUCGACAGUUUGGAAAUGGAAAAAGAUUGCGAUGCAGUUAGAGCACGAAUUUUGGAAUUCCUCUACCACAUGGAAAAAGGGAGUUGGGAGGCAGGAAAAAUGUAGAAAGGGAAAAAAGCAAGAGCAACAGUAGAGUUUCCUAGCCAUAUAGCCUAAUAUUCAUUGCUCUAAAAUUUUCAUAAUGCUUCAGGAAACAGAGGAGAGGAGACUGCAACCUGGUAUUUUAUCAUCCGUGCAAAAAGAUACAUUGGAAAAGUCCAAAAAGAAUCGUCCGAACGUGAAUGUCCUUUGUGCAUUCUGAAGAUUUAGUGUUUGAAUAUCUCAAGCUUGUGUAAAGAUACUGUUGUAAUUUGAAAGUAGAAAAUCACAGAUAAUAGACUGAUAUAGCAGUGGAAGAAAUCUGAUUUUAUUAACUUGUGGAGCUUA